CCAUAAAAAAUAAAACAAAAACUUCCGGUUCCGGAAGAAAAAACAGCCAAGUGUUUUGCACUUUUGCAGCAUACUCUCUAAUCUUUGUUUUGCAGUGCACAAAAUCAGUGGUAGAACGUAGAACAUACAAGUUGUUUUGUUUUGCACGGUGUUUUAUUUAAUAAACGCUUCUGUUGUGCGAAUUGGACGCGUGACGUGCUGAAGAUUAAAGACUUUGCAUAAUGGAAUCAAAAAAAUUUUUUUUGGUUACAUUUUUAGAUGAAGAUGAUGCUCCUGGCAUAGUUUCAUCAAAGUGGUUAAGAUACCAACACUUGUUAUUACCCUAAUGUAUGCACUGAAGAAAUCAAAAACAAACUUGAAGAAGAUGCCUGCACCUGAAGCAACAUGGUCACAGUAUCAAAUAAAAAUACUUAAAAGUUAUGAAACUUAUGGCGAAGCACGAUUACAUUUAAAAAAAAGCAGAAGAAACCUGAAAUUUGGACUCAGACGAAGCAGAAAAUGAUGUUACAAAUGAAGUGACAGUGGACAUAAUGUCUGCUGUAAAUUACCCAGUCACCUCCGGUUCUAAAGAGACCAAGCAAACACAACUCAAAGCUGUUAACUGCCAAUCAGAGUGCAUUACAAACAAGCAAUAUGCUAUACAGCAGAGUCAUAUGAUUCAGAUUGUGUCAGACCUAGCUAACCAAAUGGCUGAAAUCAAUAGAAAAUUGGAUUUACCGUUAGCUAGGUCCGAAGAAACAUUUUCACCAACAGAUGACAAUGCAGGUCUUUCAGAACUUUUGGCAAGUCUACCAGUAAAAGAUAUUGCAAGUUUUAAUAAUUUCGAUGACCA
Long non-coding RNA from Ostrinia furnacalis (Asian corn borer), 832 nucleotides. RefSeq lists it as uncharacterized. The record is from RefSeq and is a predicted model, not a curated record. The transcript is spliced from 4 exons. NCBI's taxonomy places the organism in Eukaryota, Metazoa, Arthropoda, Insecta, Lepidoptera, Crambidae.